RNAcentral lists this ribosomal RNA (390 nucleotides) under uncultured bacterium. RNAcentral's name for it is "bacterial SSU rRNA". It matches the Rfam family "Bacterial small subunit ribosomal RNA", at positions 505 to 898 of the family's 1533-position model. The record is from RNAcentral.
GUGCCAGCAGCCGCGGUAAUACGUAGGUGGCGAGCGUUAUCCGGAAUGAUUGGGCGUAAAGGGUGCGCAGGCGGCGCGUCAAGUCUGAAGUAAAAGGUACAGGCUCAACCUGUGCAGGCUUUGGAAACUGGCGCGCUCGAGGACAGGAGAGGGCGGUGGAACUCCAUGUGUAGCGGUAAAAUGCGUAGAUAUAUGGAAGAACACCAGUUGCGAAGGCGGCCGCCUGGACUGUUACUGACGCUGAGGCACGAAAGCGUGGGGAGCAAAUAGGAUUAGAUACCCUAGUAGUCCACGCCCUAAACGAUGAGGAGCAGGUGUCGGAGGGAGUACCCCGGUGCCGAAGCUAACGCAAUGACUCCUCCGCCUGGGGAGUAUGCACGCAAGUGUGAA